This 692-nucleotide ribosomal RNA is filed under the name Hylemonella sp. RNAcentral describes it as "bacterial SSU rRNA". It matches the Rfam family "Bacterial small subunit ribosomal RNA", at positions 30 to 724 of the family's 1533-position model. The record is from RNAcentral. Lineage: Bacteria; Pseudomonadati; Pseudomonadota; Betaproteobacteria; Burkholderiales; Comamonadaceae.
UUGACGCUGGCGGCAUGCCUUACACAUGCAAGUCGAACGGUAACAGGUUAAGCUGACGAGUGGCGAACGGGUGAGUAAUACAUCGGAACGUGCCCAGACGUGGGGGAUAGCUCGGCGAAAGCCGGAUUAAUACCGCAUAAGCUCUGAGGAGGAAAGCGGGGGACCGUAAGGCCUCGCGCGUUUGGAGCGGCCGAUGGCAGAUUAGGUAGUUGGUGGGGUAAAGGCUUACCAAGCCUACGAUCUGUAGCUGGUCUGAGAGGACGACCAGCCACACUGGGACUGAGACACGGCCCAGACUCCUACGGGAGGCAGCAGUGGGGAAUUUUGGACAAUGGGCGAAAGCCUGAUCCAGCAAUGCCGCGUGCAGGAUGAAGGCCUUCGGGUUGUAAACUGCUUUUGUACGGAACGAAAAGGCGCCUACUAAUACUGGGUGUUGAUGACGGUACCGUAAGAAUAAGCACCGGCUAACUACGUGCCAGCAGCCGCGGUAAUACGUAGGGUGCAAGCGUUAAUCGGAAUUACUGGGCGUAAAGCGUGCGCAGGCGGUGUUGUAAGACAGUUGUGAAAUCCCCGGGCUCAACCUGGGAACUGCAUCUGUGACUGCAAUGCUGGAGUGCGGCAGAGGGGGAUGGAAUUCCGCGUGUAGCAGUGAAAUGCGUAGAUAUGCGGAGGAACACCGAUGGCGAAGGCAA